RNAcentral lists this ribosomal RNA (681 nucleotides) under uncultured bacterium. Its description in RNAcentral is "bacterial SSU rRNA". It matches the Rfam family "Bacterial small subunit ribosomal RNA", at positions 88 to 748 of the family's 1533-position model. The record is from RNAcentral.
AAKCUUAGUGGCAAACGGGUGAGUAACACGUAGACAACCUGCCGACAGGAUGGGGACAACAUUCCGAAAGGAAUGCUAAUACCGAAUGAAGUCAGAGGAGGGCAUCCUCCUCUGAUGAAAGAUGGCCUCUGAAUAUGCUAUCACCUGUUGAUGGGUCUGCGUCUGAUUAGCUCGUUGGUGAGGUAACGGCUCACCAAGGCGACGAUCAGUAGCCGGUCUGAGAGGAUGAACGGCCACAUUGGGACUGAGACACGGCCCAGACUCCUACGGGAGGCAGCAGUGGGGAAUCUUCCGCAAUGGGCGCAAGCCUGACGGAGCAACGCCGCGUGAGUGAAGAAGGUCUUCGGAUCGUAAAGCUCUGUUGACGGGGACGAACGUGCGGGGUGCGAAUAGCGCUUUGUAAUGACGGUACCUGUCGAGGAAGCCACGGCUAACUACGUGCCAGCAGCCGCGGUAAUACGUAGGUGGCGAGCGUUGUCCGGAAUCAUUGGGCGUAAAGGGAGCGCAGGCGGGCCGGUAAGUCUUACUUAAAAGUGCGGGGCUCAACCCCGUGAUGGGAGAGAAACUAUCGGUCUUGAGUACAGGAGAGGAAAGCGGAAUUCCCAGUGUAGCGGUGAAAUGCGUAGAUAUUGGGAAGAACACCAGUGGCGAAGGCGGCUUUCUGGACUGCAACUGACGCUG